RNAcentral lists this ribosomal RNA (597 nucleotides) under Globigerinoides ruber albus. RNAcentral describes it as "partial small subunit ribosomal RNA". The stretch from base 1 to 534 matches the Rfam family "Eukaryotic small subunit ribosomal RNA", at positions 1298 to 1605 of the family's 1831-position model. The record is from RNAcentral. Lineage: Eukaryota; Foraminifera; Rotaliida; Globigerinidae.
UUCGUGGAGUGAUCUGUCUGCUUAAUUGCGUUUCAAAAUUUAACUUGAGGACCGGGUUUUGGUUUGGCUAGUGGUUCUACGAUGACUGUGAACUGUCAUGUCUUCGGAUGUGCGACUAUUGGUCUAGGAUCACAUGACUUGCCCCUGGGACUCUUUUGAACGCAACGGACGUGAUUGCAACCCCUUGUUGAGAUUAGAGAUAGUCUCGAUAUUCACUGGACAAACUGGCUGCUUUAUGCAGUCUUGUUGAAUGGUGGAUAAACUCGGGGGACUGCUGACUAUAACCAUUUCUCAAAACAGAGGAAGGUUGCGGCAAUAACAGGUCUGUGAUGCCCUCAGAUGUCCCGGGCUGCACACGUGCUACAAUGAGUGGCGCAAUGUGCUAAUGUUUAAGGGAUAAGAGUGUGGUCAGUAGAACGUCGGGAUUUCCCCUGACGUCUCCCCCGCACGAUUAUCAGCCUUCCCUUAACAGGGCGGGCAACCUUUUCAAAAUACUGGUUUGAUGUUAAAGUAUUGAGUCGUUUUUUUUGGAUGGUGGUUUGUUAACCAAUACCAUCCGGCAACUGCUCGCGAGUUUGUGGUUCUGGCGACUCAUGG